CAGCAGUCGCCACGGUAAUACAGAGGGUGCGAGCGUUAAUCGGAUUUACUGGGCGUAAAGCGUGCGUAGGCGGCUUUUUAAGUCGGAUGUGAAAUCCCUGAGCUUAACUUAGGAAUUGCAUUCGAUACUGGGAAGCUAGAGUAUGGGAGAGGAUGGUAGAAUUCCAGGUGUAGCGGUGAAAUGCGUAGAGAUCUGGAGGAAUACCGAUGGCGAAGGCAGCCAUCUGGCCUAAUACUGACGCUGAGGUACGAAAGCAUGGGGAGCAAACAGGAUUAGAUACCCCCGUAGUCCCUGUCUCUUAUAA
Molecule: ribosomal RNA, 304 nt
Filed under: uncultured bacterium
Lineage: Bacteria
Description: partial 16S ribosomal RNA
Rfam family: Bacterial small subunit ribosomal RNA
Source: RNAcentral